GACGAACGCUGGCGGCGUGCUUAACACAUGCAAGUCGAACGGAAAGGCCUCUUUCGGGGGGUACUCGAGUGGCGAACGGGUGAGUAACACGUGAGUAACCUGCCCUUGACUUUGGGAUAACUUCAGGAAACUGGGCUAAUACCGGAUAGGAGCUCCUGCUGCAUGGUGGGGGUUGGAAAGUUUCGGCGGUUGGGGAUGGACUCGCGGCUUAUCAGCUUGUUGGUGGGGUAGUGGCUUACCAAGGCUUUGACGGGUAGCCGGCCUGAGAGGGUGACCGGCCACAUUGGGACUGAGAUACGGCCCAGACUCCUACGGGAGGCAGCAGUGGGGAAUAUUGCACAAUGGGUGGAAGCCUGAUGCAGCAACGCCGUGUGCGGGAUGACGGCCUUCGGGUUGGAAACCGCUUUCGCUCAUGACGAAGCUUUGUGUGACGGUAGUGGGUAAAGAAGCACCGGCUAACUACGUG
This 466-nucleotide ribosomal RNA is filed under the name uncultured bacterium. Its description in RNAcentral is "partial 16S ribosomal RNA". It matches the Rfam family "Bacterial small subunit ribosomal RNA", at positions 28 to 507 of the family's 1533-position model. The record is from RNAcentral.